This is a non-coding RNA of Cordylochernes scorpioides, 73 nucleotides long. The record is from the annotation of a GenBank genome assembly. Lineage: Eukaryota; Metazoa; Arthropoda; Arachnida; Pseudoscorpiones; Chernetidae.
UCCAGGGUAGCCUAGUGGACAUGGCACCUGCCCGGUAAGCAGAAGGUUGUGGGUUCGAUUCCCGCCCCUGGAU